This 1530-nucleotide ribosomal RNA is filed under the name uncultured Oscillospiraceae bacterium. RNAcentral describes it as "bacterial SSU rRNA". It matches the Rfam family "Bacterial small subunit ribosomal RNA". Lineage: Bacteria; Bacillati; Bacillota; Clostridia; Eubacteriales; Oscillospiraceae. The record is from RNAcentral.
AGAGUUUGAUCCUGGCUCAGGAUAAACGCUGGCGGCGCACAUAAGACAUGCAAGUCGAACGGAAGUCGUUGUAAUGAUGUUGACAGGAACAGAGAACUUGUUCAAAGGGAAUGAAGAUUGACUUACAACAAUGGCUUUAGUGGCGGACUGGUGAGUAACACGUAAGCAACCUGCCUGUUAGAGGGGAAUAACAACGAGAAAUCGUUGCUAAUACCGCAUAUGCCAUAAUGGAGACAUCUCCAUAGUGGGAAAGGAGCAAUCCGCUAACAGAUGGGCUUGCGUCUGAUUAGUUAGUUGGUGGGGUAACGGCCUACCAAGACGACGAUCAGUAGCCGGACUGAGAGGUUCAACGGCCACAUUGGGACUGAGAUACGGCCCAGACUCCUACGGGAGGCAGCAGUCGGGAAUAUUGCGCAAUGGAGGAAACUCUGACGCAGUGACGCCGCGUAUAGGAAGAAGGUUUUCGGAUUGUAAACUAUUGUCGAUAGGGAAGAAAAAAGACUGUACCUAUCAAGAAAGCUCCGGCUAACUACGUGCCAGCAGCCGCGGUAAUACGUAGGGAGCAAGCGUUAUCCGGAUUUAUUGGGCGUAAAGGGUGCGUAGACGGGAAAUUAAGUUAGUUGUGAAAUCCCUCGGCUCAACUGAGGAACUGCAACUAAAACUGGUUUUCUUGAGUGCAGGAGAGGAAAGUGGAAUUCCUAGUGUAGCGGUGAAAUGCGUAGAUAUUAGGAGGAACACCAGUGGCGAAGGCGACUUUCUGGACUGUAACUGACGUUGAGGCACGAAAGUGUGGGGAGCAAACAGGAUUAGAUACCCUGGUAGUCCACACUGUAAACGAUGGAUACUAGGUGUAGGGGGUAUUAAGCCUUCUGUGCCGUCGCAAACGCAGUAAGUAUCCCACCUGGGGAGUACGACCGCAAGGUUGAAACUCAAAGGAAUUGACGGGGGCCCGCACAAGCAGUGGAGUAUGUGGUUUAAUUCGAAGCAACGCGAAGAACCUUACCAGGGCUUGACAUAUACAGGAAUAACUAAGAGAUUAGUUAGUUCUUCGGAACCUGUAUACAGGUGGUGCAUGGUUGUCGUCAGCUCGUGUCGUGAGAUGUUGGGUUAAGUCCCGCAACGAGCGCAACCCCUGUUUCUAGUUGCCAGCAUGUAAAGAUGGGAACUCUAGAGAGACUGCCGUUGAUAAAACGGAGGAAGGUGGGGACGACGUCAAAUCAUCAUGCCCUUUAUGUCCUGGGCUACACACGUACUACAAUGGCUAUGACAGAGGGAAGCGAAAGGGUGAUCUGAAGCGAAACUCAAAAAAGUAGUCUCAGUUCGGAUUGCAGGCUGAAAUUCGCCUGCAUGAAGCCGGAAUUGCUAGUAAUGGCAGGUCAGCAUACUGCCGUGAAUACGUUCCCGGGCCUUGUACACACCGCCCGUCACACCAUGAGAGUUGGGAAUACCCGAAGCCUGUGAGCUAACUUUUUAAGAGGCAGCAGUCGAAGGCAGAAUCAAUGAUUGGGGUGAAGUCGUAACAAGGUAGCC